AAACUAACAAGGAUUCCCCUAGUAACGGCGAGUGAAGAGGGAAGAGCCCAAGAUUGAAAGCUGGCGUCUUCGACGUCCGCAUUGUAAUCUCAAGAAGUGUUUUCCGCUUCGGACCAAGCCUAAGUCCCCUGGAAAGGGGCAUCAUAGAGGGUGAUAAUCCCGUACAUGGCUUGGAGCGCCCGUAGCUUUGUGAUACACUUUCUAAGAGUCGAGUUGUUUGGGAAUGCAGCUCAAAAUGGGUGGUAAAUGCCAUCUAAGGCUAAAUAUUGGGGAGAGACCGAUAGCGAACAAGUACAGUGAUGGAAAGAUGAAAAGAACUUUGAAAAGAGAGUUAAACAGUACGUGAAAUUGCCAAAAGGGAAGGGUAGGAGGUCAGAGAUGCGGCCUGGGAUUCAGCCUUGCUUUUGCUUGGUGUUUUUCCCAGAUUGCAGGCCAACGUCGGUUUUGGGCACUGGAGAAUGGUGGAAGGAACGUGGCACCUCUCGGGGUGUGUUAUAGCCUUCUACUGGAUACAGCGACCGAGACCGAGGACAGCAGCGUACUCGCAAGAGCGGGCCUUCGGGCACC
This 567-nucleotide ribosomal RNA is filed under the name Pseudozyma alboarmeniaca. Its description in RNAcentral is "LSU rRNA". It matches the Rfam family "Eukaryotic large subunit ribosomal RNA", at positions 62 to 639 of the family's 3401-position model. The record is from RNAcentral. Lineage: Eukaryota; Fungi; Basidiomycota; Ustilaginomycetes; Ustilaginales; Ustilaginaceae.